Unclassified non-coding RNA from Otolemur garnettii (small-eared galago), 102 nucleotides. It matches the Rfam family "Y RNA". From Rfam's summary of the family: Y RNAs are components of the Ro ribonucleoprotein particle (Ro RNP), in association with Ro60 and La proteins. The Y RNAs and Ro60 and La proteins are well conserved, but the function of the Ro RNP is not known. NCBI's taxonomy places the organism in Eukaryota, Metazoa, Chordata, Mammalia, Primates, Galagidae. The record is from Ensembl.
GGCUCAUCCGAAGGUAGUAAGUGAUCUAGGCUCAUUGGUCAGUUACAGACUAAGCUUCCUCUCCUUUUCCCCUUCCUCACUACUAUAGUUGACCAGUCUUAA